Non-coding RNA from Pogona vitticeps (central bearded dragon), 410 nucleotides. Lineage: Eukaryota; Metazoa; Chordata; Lepidosauria; Squamata; Agamidae. The record is from RefSeq and is a predicted model, not a curated record.
CCCAGCCAUGCAGCAGCAGGCUCAAAUAUUAAAUCAGUUCUAUUUAGACACACAAGAGAGGAAUGGCAAAAACAGAGGCAAUACCAUACACCAAUUAUAUUGUCCCCAUCCUUCUACUGAUUGGCUGGAUUGUGGGUUGUGUACUCAUGGUUUACUUUGUCUUCUCUUAAAAGAGGGAAAGAAGCCUUUGCAAAGGAGCUUGUAAACUUGAUGAAGAUGUCCAUCUCUCAUUUUAAAAAUAUGCAGUGGAAACAAUACUUCCAUAUUAAUAAAAUAAAGUCUUGAGACACACAUUUGUAAAAGACGGGAAUGGUGAACAAAUAUCCAAAGCUGUUUUAUAAAUUCAAAUCACUGGAUACCACAUGUAGUGUCGCGGACUGAGUGUUGGACUAGGACUCAGGUAACCUUGC